ACGCCCAUGCCAUGAUGAAUAUACCGGUUUUCAUUCGAUUAUCGAAGUCAAGCAUCAUCGGGCGCUGUCAGUACUUGGUUAGGGUGACCUGGUUCUGGGAACAUCGCAUGCCGU
Caerostris extrusa is the source of this 114-nucleotide non-coding RNA. Lineage: Eukaryota; Metazoa; Arthropoda; Arachnida; Araneae; Araneidae. The record is from the annotation of a GenBank genome assembly.